RNAcentral lists this ribosomal RNA (253 nucleotides) under uncultured bacterium. RNAcentral's name for it is "partial 16S ribosomal RNA". It matches the Rfam family "Bacterial small subunit ribosomal RNA", at positions 524 to 776 of the family's 1533-position model. The record is from RNAcentral.
UACGGGGGGGGCAAGCGUUGUUCGGAAUUACUGGGCGUAAAGGGUGCGUAGGCGGCGCGGUAAGUCGGGUGUGAAAUCUUGGAGCUUAACUCCGAAACUGCAUUCGAUACUGCCGUGCUUGAGGACUGGAGAGGAGACUGGAAUUUACGGUGUAGCGGUGAAAUGCGUAGAUAUCGUAAGGAAGACCAGUGGCGAAGGCGGGUCUCUGGACAGUUCCUGACGCUGAAGCACGAAGGCCAGGGGAGCAAACGGG